RNAcentral lists this ribosomal RNA (495 nucleotides) under uncultured bacterium. Its description in RNAcentral is "partial 16S ribosomal RNA". It matches the Rfam family "Bacterial small subunit ribosomal RNA", at positions 38 to 507 of the family's 1533-position model. The record is from RNAcentral.
GGGGGGGGGGGGGGGGGGGGGGGGGGGGGGGGGGGGGGGCGCGGGGGGGGGGGCGGGCUGCGCUGGAUGGGGUGCGGACGGGUGAGUAGCGCGUAGGUAACCGGCCGGGUAGCGGGGGAGAACUAUUGGAAACGAUAGCUAAUACCGCAUAAUAGUAGAUGUCGCAUGACAUUUGCUUAAACGGUGCAAUUGCAGCACUACCAGAUGGACCUGCGUUGUAUUAGCUAGUUGGUGAGGUAACGGCUCACCAAGGCAACGAUACAUAGCCGACCUGAGAGGGGGAUCGGCCACACUGGGACUGGGACACGGCCCAGACUCCUACGGGAGGCAGCAGGAGGGAAUCUUCGGCAAUGGACGGAGGUCUGACCGAGCAACGCCGCGUGAGUGAAGAAGGUUUUCGGAUCGUAAAGCUCUGUUGUAAGAGAAGAACGAGUGUGAGAGUGGAAAGUUCACACUGUGACGGUAUCUGACCAGAAAGGGACGGCUAACUACGUG